GUGCAAGGUUCGUUAUAAAAUCUAUGUGAUACAAAGUUUUGUUUGUUACGAGCAAGUAAAAGGACAAAGCCCUUCGACUGUCAAACAUCUUUCCAAGAGUCACUUAGAUCAAAAUCUUAAGGUGAGCAAUGUGUCUUUAGCAUCGUUAUUCCUAUGGUUUCUCAUUUGUAUUGUUCCCCAAGUUGUAGACACAAUUUCACAACAUGAAAUGAAUUUUGACUCAGAUUUGUACAUUGAUCACUAUGAAUUGUGCAACUAAUUAAAAUUGUACAGGACCACUAUGUAUGUGUGGGUAGUUUUUCUUGGAAGCUUCUGCUUCAUAUUGUUAAAGUUUUGUGAAAAGAGUGGGACAAAGCAGAAAAGUGAAACGGGUGAUUGAUGGUUUCUUGCACAAAACCAUGAACGAUCGAUAAGUAUUAGAUAUUUGCAUCAUGUGUUGUAUUCAGUGCAACUCGAUCAUAGGAAGAUGUUUUACAAUUUGGGAUUUUGUUAAAUAAGACGAAUCCCAUUCAAAUUUAAAUUAUGUGUAAUUUUAGUAUGUUAUUAAAUUCUCAGUUUCCUGGGACUUAUUUUGUUUAAAAUAUGUGAUAUCAACCUGUUUUGUUCAGUGCAAUUCAUGUAUCUACUUUUCAAAAGUCAAAUCCUCCUACAUUGGAAUACAUUGGUGGUGAUCAUGAAUAACCUCUUAAUAUCUAUUUUUGUUAAAUUAAACAGUUUGACAUCUGUGCAUUUUUUUAACAAUAGACCAUCUUAUGUUGAAUGAGGAAACGACUCUGACAGGUACAUCGAUUGAAGAGCCUUAAGUACAAUCAGUCUUCAAAUGAAGUUGAGAGUUGCAUAUAGUUUGAAAGCAAAAGUCAUUGGUUAGAGGCAAAAUUACCAAAACAAUAAAUAUGGAAAAGCACAGUGAGGACUACUUCGAACUGUGCAGACAGUUUGCGUGUUGGGAGAAGAUCGACGUCAAAUUUUAUUAUGAGAGAGACUUCAACUAUGGAUAUUUUUGAAGAGAUUACAAUUAAAUAUAAUGUACAAAUUGUAGACCAAUUCUACAUGAGUUAGUAACUGGCAAAUUAUGUCAGUCUUAAUAGCUGAAGAAACUAUGUACAAUUGCUAUAUAGAGUUUUUGCCUUCACUUAUUUUAAAUAGUUG
RNAcentral lists this long non-coding RNA (1149 nucleotides) under Aquilegia coerulea. Its description in RNAcentral is "long non-coding RNA (ACOE_LNC000191)". Lineage: Eukaryota; Viridiplantae; Streptophyta; Magnoliopsida; Ranunculales; Ranunculaceae. The record is from RNAcentral.